UUUCCGUAGGUGAACCAGCGGAAGGAUCAUUACUGAGUGCAGGUCCCUCGAGGACCUAAGAUCCUACCCUUUUUUCCUGUAUACGCUCUUGCUUUUCCCGGCCCACCGGGACUUCCCAGCCGCCGACGGGCACUCCCCCCCUGGGCCUGUGACCGCCAGAGAGCCCCUGAACUCUAAUGAAGAUGGACUGUCCGAACAUAAUUGAUAAUGAUCAAAACUUUCAGCAAUGGAACCCUUGGUUCAGGCGUCGAUGAAGAACGCAGCAGCUCGGAAGACCAC
This 279-nucleotide unclassified non-coding RNA is filed under the name plant metagenome. Its description in RNAcentral is "partial contains small subunit ribosomal RNA, internal transcribed spacer 1, and 5.8S ribosomal RNA". The record is from RNAcentral.